UUGGGCUUGGCCUUGUGACUUGUUUUGACCAACAAAGUAUGAGCAGACUUGACUCAAGCCACCUUCCAGGGGAGGCAUAAGCUGUGCUUGCAUGCUUCGGCUCUACCUCUCAUGUUCUGCCCACUCUCAUGAGAACAGCAUGACACAGAUGAAAGAUGCUCCUUCAGUCUGAAACCUGAAGAGAGAAGCUACAUAGAGCUAAGCCCAGCUGAGCCCAGCCCAGCCAAUACAGUGCAUUGACCUGCAGCUAUCUUACAAUAUGAGUCGGAAAUAGACAUUUGUUCUUGUAAGCUCUUGAGAUAAUAUGGUUGUUUGUUACCACAGCAAAAGCUAAUAAACCACCGUUAGAAAACAGAUAAAGUGUUUUAAAUUUUUAGAAUAUUUGGAAAUGAUGCUAAGUUUGUGAAGUUCCUUAAGGUAUGCAAAUGAAAAAUAAUUUACCUUAAUCAUUGUCAUAAACCUGAAUCAAAGUUUGAAAUAAAAAUCAUGCCUACUAGCCCUUACUUAAGUGAUUUAUAGACAAUGUAAAUCUUUGUAAACUACCUCAAAUAAUGUGAUAAACAAGAUAUAAAGCAGGCUUUCUUUUCAUUUGUCUCUGUGGGUUCUUUAACAGCUAUACAGCCAUACUCCCUGUACUUGGAUUUACCAUGGAAAACAUUUUCCCUCUCCGUUAUUGUUGGCAAAAGCUGCAUCUUUCUGGUCUGUUCAGUACUCGACAAUUUGUACUGCCAAUUAUGCUAUUACAAUGUCUCUUAAGGUUUCCUCCACUGCUCCUUUAUUCUUGGUACCUCCUUUGUGAUUUCAGAGUCGUUUUAUGGAAUUGUAAUGUGGCUCUUGACAUAUAAUUGAAGCAUGUUAAAUUACCCUGGCUUAAAUAAACAACUUACCAUGUGAAUAUGUUUAGGCAUCUUUUAAUGUGGUAUUUUUCCCUUGACUUGUCUAAAAAAAAUCAAUGGCAUAAAAUAAAACUUGGUACCUUAGCUUCUAAAGUGCACAAUUUUCCCUUUCC
Molecule: long non-coding RNA, 1009 nt
Filed under: Homo sapiens (human)
Lineage: Eukaryota; Metazoa; Chordata; Mammalia; Primates; Hominidae
Description: HSALNT0030609
Source: RNAcentral